Molecule: non-coding RNA, 165 nt
Organism: Bemisia tabaci
Lineage: Eukaryota; Metazoa; Arthropoda; Insecta; Hemiptera; Aleyrodidae
Source: RefSeq, a predicted model, not a curated record
CCCGCCUCGCCGCGUUCGUGUACGUACCGUGUUAGCGUGUUACUUAAUCAGUAAUAUAAGUUUACACAAGUGCCUUGUGGAUAAUAGUGUUGAUUAUUGGUGUGGCUGUUUGUGCCUAUGCACUAAGGCCAAAGCACCGUUACAGGGCAAAAAGUAAAAACUAAA